Long non-coding RNA from Scylla paramamosain (green mud crab), 1343 nucleotides. RefSeq lists it as uncharacterized. The record is from RefSeq and is a predicted model, not a curated record. Lineage: Eukaryota; Metazoa; Arthropoda; Malacostraca; Decapoda; Portunidae. The transcript has 8 exons.
CCAGGGAAGCUCCGUCGCUGCCCCCUGCCCGCUGCCAGGCGUCCUGUGCCGUCUCCUCAGCCACCCCCAUGGCCUCGCAGCACUCCCGCAGCUGCUCCCACUGCACGCUGUCGCCGAUUCGUAGCUGAUGCAGGGCAAAGUAUAUGGUUGCGAUGGCGAGGGCACACCUGACGGUGGAGCACUCGCAGCACGCCAGGUGAGAUGCCGCUCUCUGUCUCCGGGAUGGGGAAUUCCAGGCGGUCCUUCACGGGGGGCACGCUGCCUUGGGUCAUGGCUCUGCGACACCCAGCACAUUAAUGUAUUAUUAGGCGCAGGACCAGGCCAGGAGGUCCCGGGGCUGGGUACGGAUGGCGGCCUUGGUGUACUCCCUCAGGAUGCUAGGCAGGGGCGCCGGCACCCUCGUGUCCACCACUCCCUCCGCCACCACCACCAUCCUGAGCAGUGAGGCGAUCCUUGUACUUUAGCAAUGAAAGUUUCACUUGGACUGGUGAAGCUUCGGAUCAUUUGCUUGAUCACAAAUUGGGGUCUACGUGGCAAGCUGACAGCAGUGCGUGUCCGAGCGUCGCUGAGAAUGGAGGGAGUGCUGCUCGCCGCCGGCACCACCCACCGGCAACCCGAGGCGUGAGCAAGACCAACCUGAGAACUUCCGUGACUUCCUUGCUGCUCUUUGCGGCCAGGUGUGUCAUGCGUGCAGGAAAGACAUCUUGAGGAGGAUGACAUUGUGGGCAGACACAUCCUUGACAUCUGAAGACACAAGAUGACCGACUGGUAACGAUGCAGAGAAGGGAAGUAGUGUGGGCAGACACACACCACCUGAAAACACAAGAUAAGCUUUGAAGAGCUUUGAUGAAAGAGUGGGGAACCACAACAGUCUGUGUUUUAUAGAAAGGGGUUGUCAGCAAGUGAACGAGGACGCAACACCAUCUUGUCUGCAUCUGCCAAUAGCAGCAGCAGUGGCAGAAGAACAGUUUCUGAAGACAAACAGCAGCAGAGCAGCAGAGCCUUUCAUGGAACAAAUGGUGGCCUGCAGUGGUGCCCAGCAAAGUUUCUGAUGGACCUGCCCACUGCAUGCUGAAAUGACACUUUGAAGUUGACCAGGAAUCCCAAUUCCCAGCAGGACUGGUGCCUGGCUGCCUCAGUCCACACUACCACCACACCAGCAGAGUUCCUUCCUCAUUGUGCCUCCUCUUCACCCAGGACUGGUGCCUGGCUGCCUCAGUCCACACUACCACCACACCAAUGUCACCUGUAAAAGAAAAAAGCGGAAACUCAUCCUAUAACAAAUGCACAUCACAUGUCAGCAGUUUACAAGUUUCCCUCAAUAAAGCAAUCAAUGUCUGAAA